GAAGAGAUUGCUGUUUGGUAAAGUAUUCAAAUUGCUAAUUUGACGCCUUCGGGCUCGUGAGUUCAAGUCUCGCUCUCUUCG
This 81-nucleotide transfer RNA is filed under the name Amoebidium parasiticum. RNAcentral describes it as "tRNA-Ser". It matches the Rfam family "tRNA". From Rfam's summary of the family: Transfer RNA (tRNA) molecules are approximately 80 nucleotides in length. Their secondary structure includes four short double-helical elements and three loops (D, anti-codon, and T loops). The record is from RNAcentral. Lineage: Eukaryota; Ichthyosporea; Ichthyophonida; Amoebidiaceae.